RNAcentral lists this ribosomal RNA (255 nucleotides) under uncultured bacterium. RNAcentral's name for it is "partial 16S ribosomal RNA". It matches the Rfam family "Bacterial small subunit ribosomal RNA", at positions 524 to 777 of the family's 1533-position model. The record is from RNAcentral.
UACGGAGGGGGCUAGCGUUGUUCGGAAUUACUGGGCGUAAAGCGCACGUAGGCGGCUUUGUAAGUUAGAGGUGAAAGCCCGGGGCUCAACCCCGGAAUUGCCUUUAAGACUGCAUCGCUAGAAUUGUGGAGAGGUAAGUGGAAUUCCGAGUGUAGAGGUGAAAUUCGUAGAUAUUCGGAAGAAACACCAGUGGCGAAGGCGACUUACUGGACACAUAUUGACGCUGAGGUGCGAAAGCGUGGGGAGCAAACAGGG